GUAAGGAAUAUUGGUCAAUGGAGGGAACUCUGAACCAGCCAUGCCGCGUGCAGGAUGACUGCCCUAUGGGUUGUAAACUGCUUUUGUCCAGGAAUAACCACCACUACGUGUAGUGGCUUGAAUGUACUGGAAGAAUAAGGAUCGGCUAACUCCGUGCCAGCAGCCGCGGUAAUACGGAGGAUCCGAGCGUUAUCCGGAUUUAUUGGGUUUAAAGGGUGCGUAGGCGGCUCAUUAAGUCAGGGGUGAAAGACGGCAGCUCAACUGUCGCAGUGCCUUUGAUACUGAUGAGCUUGAAUGUGGUUGAAGAUGGCGGAAUGAGACAAGUAGCGGUGAAAUGCAUAGAUAUGUCUCAGAACUCCGAUUGCGAAGGCAGCUGUCUAAGUCAUUAUUGACGCUGAUGCACGAAAGCGUGGGGAUCGAACAGGAUUAGAAACCCUAGUAGUCC
RNAcentral lists this ribosomal RNA (445 nucleotides) under uncultured Sphingobacterium sp. RNAcentral's name for it is "bacterial SSU rRNA". It matches the Rfam family "Bacterial small subunit ribosomal RNA", at positions 354 to 796 of the family's 1533-position model. Lineage: Bacteria; Pseudomonadati; Bacteroidota; Sphingobacteriia; Sphingobacteriales; Sphingobacteriaceae. The record is from RNAcentral.